Long non-coding RNA from Toxorhynchites rutilus septentrionalis, 678 nucleotides. RefSeq lists it as uncharacterized. The record is from RefSeq and is a predicted model, not a curated record. Lineage: Eukaryota; Metazoa; Arthropoda; Insecta; Diptera; Culicidae. The transcript has 2 exons.
AUCUGCUGUUGUCAUUGACUAUUUAUAGCACCUUGAGUCAUCUUGUGGAAACGGAACGAAUGAAGUUGCACUCUCUAGUUCGUUCUUAAAUUCCUAUAAUGUUGUGAUUUUCCAAAUCUGAUAAAUGUGGAAUUUAGUUUAGAAAACGUUUAACCUAAUGCAAUCAAUAACUCAAAAUUUCUAAUUUCACUCUGACUCAACACGACCAUAUAUCACAUGCUUUUGAUCCCACUAAAUACAGAACAUUGUUUCCGUCCAUAACAAUUUGUAUGCACAGUCGAUUUGGAAGAUUAUCCAGGAUUUAGCCAUUAUCUUUGAAGCUUCGGAUUUUGAAAUAAUUGUUCCGAUAAGCAAUCGAGGAGUUUGUUGCAAUGUACACGGCAGAUACCGCAAAGCAAAUCUCCAAACCAAGCGCUUUUUCGCACCACGCGGCAAAGGUAUAUGGAAUCACGUAAAUUUCGGAACAUUCUGACCUGACCCGAAGGAGCUUGAAGAUGGUGUCGCUAAUUUGCACCGACACAUGUCGGUUGACUAUGCUAGAGAAGACGUCGUUACAAUUAAGAGGCAUUCUUAUUUUUUGACUCCGACUUUAUUUUGUUCGAUAUAUUCAAUGUAUAGAUAUCGUUCUCUUCUAUAAUUAAAUAUAUAAUACAUUUUCAUUUGGAUGCAACAUAUUAA